GGACAAAUGACUGACCAUGCUAUCCUCAGACCUCUACCAGAAGAAUCUACUGGGCAUCGUUGUCGAUGAGGUUCACGUCACCUACAAAUGGAAUGAAAGGCCUUCCUGCUCAGUUGGGAGAACGUCACAGCAAAGAAGACAUGCCUGUCAUGGCUUAAAUGGCAUCUGCAGUCACAGAAGAUGGGACACAGAGAGCUGCUACAUAUGGAGAGAGUGCCAUUCAACAGUGAGCCCACCCAACAGGACAGUUUGCACUAGGUUGGAUCACAGCUUAUUGAAGAAACAUGAGAAGAGCAUUAGUCCCUAUAUCUUUGAUCGAACAUAUAAUAGUACAUAACCAACAACCUUCCUGUUUUCAAAGUGUUGCAUGUGCAGGGAAUCCCAGGUUAUGUUGAUUAAAAGGAUGAGUAUUUUGACAGUGAAACACCACAGCGUAGUAGCUGGCAGUGCUUUGCCGCAACCUCGUACAUGCUGUUGUACAAAUGUGUAUGAAUGACUGUUUUUGCAUAGAAGAACUGUAAAUAAAAUUACACAUUUGAAAACUGUUGCCAUGUUUUUUUCUUUGAGCAGCAAUGAUUAAAAAAAUGUAAAGAAGGAAGAAGUAUUGUAGACUGUUUAGUGUUGAGCACAGUUUAAUUUACUUCAAGUGACAACAUACCUUAACCUUUUUUAUAUGCAUUCACAGAAAGGCAACAGAAUCUUAUGGAAAAAAAGUUGCACUGGGUUAUUUUAUAUACACUACUUACAUACACAAAUUAUUUACAUACAUUAUUACAGUACAUGCAUUUACUCCACCAAUUUUAUAUUAGUCUUGGCGCUCUUUCAAUUUAGCUUUGAUCCUGCGCCACAGGUUACUGCUUUUGCGAUUUAUCAGAAUGUCAUGACUAGAUGGGGGAAUGAA
This is a long non-coding RNA of Engraulis encrasicolus (European anchovy), 901 nucleotides long. RefSeq lists it as uncharacterized. The transcript is spliced from 3 exons. The record is from RefSeq and is a predicted model, not a curated record. Lineage: Eukaryota; Metazoa; Chordata; Actinopteri; Clupeiformes; Engraulidae.